UGCGGGAAGAUCUUGCCAGUGACGGUUUUAGCUUUGCAGACACACACUCUGCCCACAAACUGGAACGUCAAUCCAAGACGGGACGGGAAGGCUCACAGUGAGCUGCUGGCACCGGCGAAAACAAAAAGCGUAUACCCUCAGCUUGAAAUGAAUACAAUUUGGCUCUGCGAGGAGCUGCAUUGAGACAACGCUUUCCAAGUCCAUUGAGCUUCCACUUCAAAUAACAACUCACCAUUUCAGGAGGGAGAGCGCUGCCGCAGAACAGAGGAGGAGAAGGAAUACAGGACGGAGGAGUCAGUGAGGUGGCUGUGCUGCAGACAGACAACAGCAAGUGUUUCUGUCUUGUCAGAGGUGAUCAAUGUCUGUGAGCUGGCACGGAAAGGCAGAGAGAGAGAGAGAGAAGGCUGGAGCUCUAUUGUCUAGACUGCAGACUGACAGCUCAGGCCUCCUGCCUGAGCAAAAAGGGUCUGAGCGCCGGCCGAUCUAAAGGGCUGAAUAGGGUUAAAUUGACUGCGACACAGGGGACAGAUGGCCCUGUCCUCUGGAGAAGCCGGCAUGGGGCAGAGAGGAGAGACACAUGAGGAAAAUAUAAUAGGGGGGAGAAAAAGAAAAAAA
Molecule: long non-coding RNA, 615 nt
Organism: Xiphophorus hellerii (green swordtail)
Lineage: Eukaryota; Metazoa; Chordata; Actinopteri; Cyprinodontiformes; Poeciliidae
Exons: 2
Source: RefSeq, a predicted model, not a curated record